This 478-nucleotide ribosomal RNA is filed under the name uncultured bacterium. RNAcentral's name for it is "partial 16S ribosomal RNA". It matches the Rfam family "Bacterial small subunit ribosomal RNA", at positions 28 to 523 of the family's 1533-position model. The record is from RNAcentral.
GACGAACGCUGGCGGCGUGCUUAACACAUGCAAGUCGAGCGAUGAAGUUCCUUCGGGAAUGGAUUAGCGGCGGACGGGUGAGUAACACGUGGGUAACCUGCCUCAUAGAGGGGAAUAGCCUUUCGAAAGGAAGAUUAAUACCGCAUAAGAUUGUAGCUUCGCAUGAAGUAGCAAUUAAAGGAGUAAUCCGCUAUGAGAUGGACCCGCGUCGCAUUAGCUAGUUGGUGAGGUAACGGCUCACCAAGGCGACGAUGCGUAGCCGACCUGAGAGGGUGAUCGGCCACAUUGGGACUGCGACACGGCCCAGACUCCUACGGGAGGCAGCAGUGGGGAAUAUUGCACAAUGGGGGAAACCCUGAUGCAGCAACGCCGCGUGAGUGAUGACGGUCUUCGGAUUGUAAAGCUCUGUCUUCAGGGACGAUAAUGACGGUACCUGAGGAGGAAGCCACGGCUAACUACGUGCCAGCCGCCGCCGUAA